AGUCGUAACAAGGUUUCCGUAGGUGAACCUGCGGAAGGAUCAUUACAGAAUUUUGAGAAUUGUGCUUAACUGCACUUUUCUUAUCUACACACGUGUUUUUGUUUUAUUCUUAAAACUUGCUUUGGCAGUGGCUGCUUAAUUGCUCUGCUGCCAGAGGAUAAACUCAACCUAAAUUUUUUAUUUUAAACUAGUCAACUGAUUAUAUUUAUUAAUAGUCAAAACUUUCAACAACGGAUCUCUUGGUUCUCGCAUCGAUGAAGAACGCAGCGAAAUGCGAUAAGUAAUAUGAAUUGCAGAUAUUCGUGAAUCAUCGAAUCUUUGAACGCACAUUGCGCCCUCUGGUAUUCCGGAGGGCAUGCCUGUUUGAGCGUCAUUUCUCCCUCAAACCCCCGGGUUUGGUGAUGAGCAAUACGCCAGGUUUGCUUGAAAGUUAGGAGGAGUAUUUAUAACAAUGUAUUAGGUCUAACCACUCCAUUGUGCUUAAUAAAAGCUCCAAUCUAUAUUUCAAACUUCGACCUCAAAUCAGGUAGGAUUACCCGCUGAACUUAAGCAUAUCAAU
This 559-nucleotide ribosomal RNA is filed under the name Lodderomyces elongisporus. RNAcentral describes it as "eukaryotic LSU rRNA". The stretch from base 220 to 373 matches the Rfam family "5.8S ribosomal RNA". The record is from RNAcentral. Lineage: Eukaryota; Fungi; Ascomycota; Pichiomycetes; Serinales; Debaryomycetaceae.